This 301-nucleotide ribosomal RNA is filed under the name uncultured bacterium. RNAcentral describes it as "partial 16S ribosomal RNA". It matches the Rfam family "Bacterial small subunit ribosomal RNA", at positions 509 to 809 of the family's 1533-position model. The record is from RNAcentral.
CAGUCGCCACGGGAAUACAGAGGGUGCGAGCGUUAAUCGGAUUUACUGGGCGUAAAGCGUGCGUAGGCGGCUUUUUAAGUCGGAUGUGAAAUCCCUGAGCUUAACGUAGGAAUUGCAUUCGAUACUGGGAAGCUAGAGUAUGGGAGAGGAUGGUAGAAUUCCAGGUGUAGCGGUGAAAUGCGUAGAGAUCUGGAGGAAUACCGAUGGCGAAGGCAGCCAUCUGGCCUAAUACUGACGCUGAGGUACGAAAGCAUGGGGAGCAAACAGGAUUAGAUACCCGCGUAGUCCCUGUCUUUAUACA